UCCGAUAUGGUGUAGUGGCCAACAUGAUGCCCUCUCAUCCCUGAUGCGAGGUUAGGCAUAGCCCCGAGUUCGAUUCUCGGUUUCGGAA
Transfer RNA from Colletotrichum gloeosporioides Cg-14, 88 nucleotides. It matches the Rfam family "tRNA". From Rfam's summary of the family: Transfer RNA (tRNA) molecules are approximately 80 nucleotides in length. Their secondary structure includes four short double-helical elements and three loops (D, anti-codon, and T loops). The record is from Rfam. Lineage: Eukaryota; Fungi; Ascomycota; Sordariomycetes; Glomerellales; Glomerellaceae.